GCUGGUGUAGGGAAAGGAAUGGGAAUGUUGAGGGGAUGGGAAGAGGCAUCAAGAACAGGAAUAUAAUUUUCCUACAGUGCUGUUCUGCUGAGACUACAGAGUACCUCAGGGAGUCAUGCAUCCUCUUCCUGUUGCUUUACUGAAUCUUAAAGAGUGAUACAGUACUAAUGAUGCCAUUCUAGCAACUGGAGCAGCUUCAGGGGAGAGAGCACAUUAAGGGUGCUGGGAUGGUAAUGGUUGGGAGGAAGCUGAAUGGUAGUAAGAGAGACAUUCUGUCCUGAGAACUCUGAUCCACUUGAUGCAGAUGAGCAGGUAACCAUGGAAGUCGUGAGCUGAGGCUGCAGAGUCUAGAGCCAGAGUGUGGAAUAAACUUGGGUCUCAAAUCACCCCUGGAGCAAAGCACCCAUCUAAUCAGGAACUUCUACUUUCAACUUUACAUGCGUGAGAAAUGAACUUCUAUCAUGUUAGAGAAAUCCUUACACGGCGCCCUUGAGAGCUUUCAUACUGCAAGUCAUCCAUUUUCCUCCCCUCAAACCUGGCAUCGG
Molecule: long non-coding RNA, 545 nt
Filed under: Homo sapiens (human)
Lineage: Eukaryota; Metazoa; Chordata; Mammalia; Primates; Hominidae
Description: non-protein coding lnc-TBCCD1-4:60
Source: RNAcentral